RNAcentral lists this transfer RNA (69 nucleotides) under Istiompax indica (black marlin). RNAcentral describes it as "tRNA-Arg". It matches the Rfam family "tRNA". Rfam says of the family: Transfer RNA (tRNA) molecules are approximately 80 nucleotides in length. Their secondary structure includes four short double-helical elements and three loops (D, anti-codon, and T loops). Lineage: Eukaryota; Metazoa; Chordata; Actinopteri; Istiophoriformes; Istiophoridae. The record is from RNAcentral. RNAcentral also lists the same sequence under 2 other names.
AGGUGGCUAGUCUAAAAAAAACAUUUGAUUUCGGCUCAAAAACUUGUGGUUAAAGUCCGCAGCUACCUA